GGACCUUACGGCGGACUAUACAUGCAAGUCGAACGGUUGGUAGCAAUACCAAUAGUGGCGCACGGGUGCGUAACGCGUAACCAACCUACCCGAAUCUGGGGGAUAGCCCGCCGAAAGGCGGAUUAAUACCGCAUAAAACUGCAGCACGGCAUCGUGUAACAGUUAAAGAUUUAUUGGAUUCGGAUGGGGUUGCGUGCCAUUAGCUAGUUGGGGGGGUAACGGCCCACCAAGGCGACGAUGGCUAGGGGAGCUGAGAGGCUGGUCCCCCACACGGGCACUGAGAUACGGGCCCGACUCCUACGGGAGGCAGCAGUAGGGAAUAUUGGGCAAUGGUCGAGAGACUGACCCAGCCAUGCCGCGUGCAGGAUGAAGGCUUUCUGAGUCGUAAACUGCUUUUACCAGGGAAGAAAAAAGGGGAUGCGUCCUCUACUGACGGUACCUGGUGAAUAAGCACCGGCUAACUCCGUGCCAGCAGCCGCGGUAAUACGGAGGGUGCAAGCGUUGUCCGGAUUUAUUGGGUUUAAAGGGUGCGUAGGCGGCUGAUUAAGUCUGGGGUGAAAGCCCGUUGCUCAACAACGGAACUGCCCUGGAAACUGGUUAGCUUGAGUACAGACGAGGGUGGCGGAAUGGAUACUGUAGCGGUGAAAUGCAUAGAUAGUAUCCAGAACCCCGAUUGCGAAGGCAGCUGCCUAGACUGUAACUGACGCUGAGGCACGAAAGCGUGGGGAGCGAACAGGAUUAGAUACCCUGGUAGUCCACGCCGUAAACGAUGGAUACUCGCUGGUGGCGACAGACUGUCACUGGCUUAGCGAAAGCGUUAAGUAUCCCACCUGGGGAGUACGCUCGCAAGAGUGAAACUCAAAAGAAUUGACGGGGGCCCGCACAAGUGGUGGAGCAUGUGGUUUAAUUCGAUGAUACGCGAGGAACCUUACCUAGGCUAGAAUGCGCGUGACCGGUUCAGAGAUGAGCCUUUCCUUCGGGA
RNAcentral lists this ribosomal RNA (982 nucleotides) under uncultured bacterium. RNAcentral describes it as "bacterial SSU rRNA". It matches the Rfam family "Bacterial small subunit ribosomal RNA", at positions 31 to 1025 of the family's 1533-position model. The record is from RNAcentral.